RNAcentral lists this ribosomal RNA (468 nucleotides) under uncultured bacterium. RNAcentral's name for it is "partial 16S ribosomal RNA". It matches the Rfam family "Bacterial small subunit ribosomal RNA", at positions 28 to 507 of the family's 1533-position model. The record is from RNAcentral.
GACGAACGCUGGCGGCGUGCUUAACACAUGCAAGUCGAACGGAAGGGCCCUGCUUUUGUGGGGUGCUCGAGUGGCGAACGGGUGAGUAACACGUGAGUAACCUGCCCUUGACUUUGGGAUAACUUCAGGAAACUGGGGCUAAUACCGGAUAGGAGCUCCUGCUGCAUGGUGGGGGUUGGAAAGUUUCGGCGGUUGGGGAUGGACUCGCGGCUUAUCAGCUUGUUGGUGGGGUAGUGGCUUACCAAGGCUUUGACGGGUAGCCGGCCUGAGAGGGUGACCGGACACAUUGGGACUGAGAUACGGCCCAGACUCCUACGGGAGGCAGCAGUGGGGAAUAUUGCACAAUGGGCGGAAGCCUGAUGCAGCAACGCCGCGUGCGGGAUGACGGCCUUCGGGUUGUAAACCGCUUUCGCCUGUGACGAAGCGUGAGUGACGGUAAUGGGUAAAGAAGCACCGGCUAACUACGUG